This 440-nucleotide ribosomal RNA is filed under the name uncultured bacterium. Its description in RNAcentral is "partial 16S ribosomal RNA". It matches the Rfam family "Bacterial small subunit ribosomal RNA", at positions 338 to 795 of the family's 1533-position model. The record is from RNAcentral.
CCUACGGGAGGCAGCAGUGGGGGAUAUUGCACAAUGGGGGAAACCCUGAUGCAGCGACGCCGCGUGUGGGAAGACGGUCCUCUGGAUUGUAAACCACUGUCCCCAGGGACGAAGAUGACGGUACCUGGGGAGGAAGCUCCGGCUAACUACGUGCCAGCAGCCGCGGUAAUACGUAGGGAGCGAGCUUUGUCCGGAAUUACUGGGUGUAAAGGGAGCGUAGGCGGGACUGCAAGUUGGGUGUCAAAUCUACCGGCUCAACCGGUAGCCGCACUCAAAACUGCAGUUCUUGAGCGAAGUAGAGGCAGGCGGAAUUCCUAGUGUAGCGGGGAAAUGCGGAGAUAUUAGGAGGAACACCAGUGGCGAAGGCGGCCUGCUGGGCUUUUACUGACGCUGAGGCUCGAAAGUGUGGGGAGCAAACAGGAUUAGAUACCCUAGUAGUC